Non-coding RNA from Schistosoma haematobium, 46 nucleotides. The record is from Rfam. NCBI's taxonomy places the organism in Eukaryota, Metazoa, Platyhelminthes, Trematoda, Strigeidida, Schistosomatidae.
GCACUGCUGAGGAGUCUCAUAUUAGGGCGAAACGGCCGUCCAGUGC